UGGUGGAGUGAUUUGUCUGGUUAAUUCCGAUAACGAACGAGACUCUGUCCUGCUAACUAGGUUGUGUUUUCUCGGGUUGGUGUCUGGUGUUCCUUCUCGGGGCGCCGGCCCAAUCCACUUGUGAACACAACACUCUUCUUAGAGGGACUGGCGGCUGUUAGCCGCACGAGAUAGAGCAAUAACA
Molecule: ribosomal RNA, 184 nt
Filed under: uncultured eukaryote
Lineage: Eukaryota
Description: partial 18S ribosomal RNA
Rfam family: Eukaryotic small subunit ribosomal RNA
Source: RNAcentral